AGAGUUUGAUCAUGGCUCAGAGCGAACGCUGGCGGCAGGCCUAACACAUGCAAGUCGAACGCUUGUAGCAAUACAAGAGUGGCAGACGGGUGAAAAACGCGUGGGAACGUGCCCUUCGGUUCGGAAUAACUCAGGGAAACUUGAGCUAAUACCGGAUACGUCCGUAAGGAGAAAGAUUUAUUGCCGAAGGAUCGGCCCGC
This 200-nucleotide ribosomal RNA is filed under the name uncultured bacterium. Its description in RNAcentral is "partial 16S ribosomal RNA". It matches the Rfam family "Bacterial small subunit ribosomal RNA", at positions 8 to 234 of the family's 1533-position model. The record is from RNAcentral.